GUAAGGAAUAUUGGUCAAUGGACGCAAGUCUGAACCAGCCAUGCCGCGUGGAGGAUGAAGGUCCUCUGGAUUGUAAACUUCUUUUAUUUGGGACGAAAAAGGGUCUUUCUAGAUCAACUGACGGUACCAGAUGAAUAAGCACCGGCUAACUCCGUGCCAGCAGCCGCGGUAAUACGGAGGGUGCAAGCGUUAUCCGGAUUUACUGGGUUUAAAGGGUGCGCAGGCGGAUAUGUAAGUCAGUGGUGAAAUCUUUGGGCUUAACCCGAAAAUUGCCAUUGAUACUAUAUAUCUUGAAUGCUGUGGAGGUAAGCGGAAUAUGUCAUGUAGCGGUGAAAUGCUUAGAUAUGACAUAGAACACCUAUUGCGAAGGCAGCUUACUACGCAGAUAUUGACGCUCAUGCACGAAAGCGUGGGGAUCAAACAGGAUUAGAAACCCGGGUAGUCC
Molecule: ribosomal RNA, 445 nt
Filed under: uncultured bacterium
Lineage: Bacteria
Description: bacterial SSU rRNA
Rfam family: Bacterial small subunit ribosomal RNA
Source: RNAcentral